RNAcentral lists this ribosomal RNA (243 nucleotides) under Klebsiella pneumoniae. RNAcentral's name for it is "partial 23S ribosomal RNA". It matches the Rfam family "Bacterial large subunit ribosomal RNA", at positions 1 to 235 of the family's 2925-position model. Lineage: Bacteria; Pseudomonadati; Pseudomonadota; Gammaproteobacteria; Enterobacterales; Enterobacteriaceae. The record is from RNAcentral.
GGGUUGUGAGGUUAAGCGACUAAGCGUACACGGUGGAUGCCCUGGCAGUCAGAGGCGAUGAAGGACGUGCUAAUCUGCGAAAAGCGUCGGUAAGGUGAUAUGAACCGUUAUAACCGGCGAUGUCCGAAUGGGGAAACCCAGUGUGAUUCGUCACACUAUCGUUAACUGAAUACAUAGGUUAACGAGGCGAACCGGGGGAACUGAAACAUCUAAGUACCCCGAGGAAAAGAAAUCAACCGAGAU